CUACACUCUUCACCAAAGAGAACAAUAGGCACCUCAAGAUGCCAGUUGGUGCAAAAGCAGCAGCAGCAUCAAAAUUGAAUUUUUCCCAAUUACUGUGGACUAUAUAUCCGAUACAUUUAUGUCAUAAAUAAUUUGUCCUACAAAAAAGAUAUGGGUAUAUCGACCCUCUUUUCUCUUGACGAACCCUGCUUCCUCACAUUUAUAGGUGUUAAAGCUAAAUCAAUCUAUCUAAAUCAGGCAGAUUUCAACUUGGCAGAUGUGGAUGCCAGAUGUGAAAGGGUUCUGUGUCCAACAAACAGUAAGAAGAUCCCUAAGAAUCCAAGUGCUUUCAGUGUUGUGAACAGAUUCAACUUCAACCAGAACAGAGAAUAAAGUGACAGAACGGCCACAAUGGCAAGGUGAAAAAGGAUGGCAAAUGCUGCAGGUGCUGAUGCUGUUGGGAAGUUCUUCAGGUUCACACGUAGUCUCAAAAGCCCAACCAAAAAUCCAACGAAUGGCAAAAGAACAAGGGCCAGAAAUGCAUAAGAAAGGUUGCUCGGAGGUCUUUUCUCUGGAGCCCUAAAAAUGUGAGCUAUUUCUGCCUUGGGGCCAAAUCUAGAGGAAGGAUCAACAGCCUGAGGAGGUGGGCGUGCUGCCUUCUCUGGAGCCUCUGGCAAAUCUAAUUCAACAGAUCCCAAUGGUUGCAAGAACGAGUUCUCCAUUACAGCAUCUCCAACAGUAAGUUGAAUAUCAUAUCUACCCGAUAGAUAGAAAAACUUUUCAACAAGUCCAAGGAAAUCUAGUAUUAUUUCAAAUUGUUUUCCAGAAUUCCCGACCACAAAGAUAUGCUCCACCUUGCUCUCAUGACUCAACUUGAGGAAAGCCUGGUGUGGCUUCAAAGCAUUCCCAAGAGGAGAAGUUAAUUGAAAUGACAACCGUAGCUUUUGAAGAUGGUUUGCUGAUAAGGAGAUGGAGUUCUUUCCAGCCAAAUCAAGCUUUUUACGAGUUUCAAUGUUCCCAAGAUCACUGUCAAGUACAGAAAUAUCUGCAUUAUCAACUUUAAUAACUCCUGUAACGUAUAUGGGUACUUUUGUUCUUCCUCCAGUGGCAUAGAUCAUUUUGUGCUCUGAAUCAUGAAGAACAAUCUCAAAACUGAAAAUGUAACUGCCAACAUCAAUGUCUUUACGCAAAGCAUCCAAGUAAUGCACGCCAUUUUUAUGGUCAAAUUUGAGAUCCUGAUCAAUAACAGAGGCAUCCUUUGAACCAGAGCUGAAAAUCUGCUUCAGUUUGACUGUCAGAGAAGGUGCAGUAGCCCCCAAAACAGUGUUUACUUUUACCUUAAGCUGGUCCUUUCUAGUCAAUGAAAGAACGCUGGUGGGGAGUGAUAAUAUCAAUGGAAUGGAGACCCUAUUGUUUUCCAAAGAAGCCAAUGCUUCAAUUUGAUAAUACAAGUCCUUUGCAUUUCCAGGAACUCCAGCACCAAGGAGAAACCUUGCCAGACCUAGAAUUUUGUCACCUGGAAGAUUUAAAUUUUCGGUAGACACCGCGGCAAAAGCUGUAAUCCCACGCACUACAGCUGAUGAAGCUGAGAGGAGACCCUGAUGUCCAUGAGCAUCAGCAAGUUUUUCAUCAAAGUAAUAGGCUCCAUCAUCAUAUUUCUCUAGACCAUCAAGAAGCUUCGAUAUAUCACUUUUCACCAUGCUAAUCAAAGAUUGAUCAAUCUCAGAAGAAGCUAAUGAAAUGACACCAGCCAGGCUCUCAAGUGCAAUUCCUGCAGCAUAAGUGCUAAACUCAGGAUUGUUGGAGCUAUAACGCCACCUUCCAUCACUUUGGCUGAGAGCCUUUAUGGAGCGGACAACUGAAUCGGCACUUUCAAGAUGUACAUCCACGUCAGAAUUUAGGCCCUUGAUAAGAACUAAACUUCCAACCGAAUAGUAGUAGUCAAGAAGUGAGCUGGCACUUUUCACAGCAUCUUUAAGUCUUGGGGCUAUGCCUGCUAAUGUCUUCUUGUUAAGCUCGCAGUUCAAUAGCCCAUUGACUCUUAAUGCCUGGAACAGAUCUUUCAAUGCUGAAGUAGGAGAUGACAAAGUGUCCCCCACCGUCACACAUGUAGCAACCCUUUGGUCAGGCUGUUUUUUAAUUCCAAGAACUUCAAAUGUCCUUAAGGCCUCGUAUGUUUCUUUAAGGCUAGUAAAAGAUCCAUCUUUGGGUGUAAGCAACUCCAACGCAGCAGAUCGGUGAGAAUCUGAAAUAGGUCUGAAAAUUGCAGCUUCACAGAUCAAUGCACACAACGCUAGAAUCAAAAUUCCUAAAAUUUUCCCCAUUUUGAGUCUGCGCCACAGUAGGGACUGGUAAGAGUGAGGCUAGAUGCACUAUUGAAAAUGGCCAAAAAGCGCACACACACACCCAAACUUAUUACCGAAUUUUUAA
Molecule: unclassified non-coding RNA, 2409 nt
Filed under: Hevea brasiliensis (rubber tree)
Lineage: Eukaryota; Viridiplantae; Streptophyta; Magnoliopsida; Malpighiales; Euphorbiaceae
Source: RNAcentral